UUCUAACAUAUGCCAUAACCCAC
This 23-nucleotide non-coding RNA is filed under the name Arabidopsis thaliana (thale cress). The record is from RNAcentral. Lineage: Eukaryota; Viridiplantae; Streptophyta; Magnoliopsida; Brassicales; Brassicaceae.